GAUGAAGAACGUAGCGAAAUGCGAUGAGUAGUGUGAAUUGCAGAAUUCAGUGAAUCAUCGAAUCUUUGAACGCACAUUGCGCCCUUUGGUAUUCCAAAGGGCAUGCCUGUUCGAGCGUCAUUUGUACCCUCAAGCUUUGCUUGGUGUUGGGCGUCUUGUCUCUAGCUUUGCUGGAGACUCGCCUUAAAGUAAUUGGCAGCCGGCCUACUGGUUUCGGAGCGCAGCACAAGUCGCACUCUCUAUCAGCAAAGGUCUAGCAUCCAUUAAGCCUUUUUUUCAACUUUUGACCUCGGAUCAGGUAGGGAUACCCGCUGAACUUAAGCAUAUCAAUAAGCGGAGGA
Molecule: unclassified non-coding RNA, 341 nt
Filed under: soil metagenome
Description: partial contains 5.8S ribosomal RNA, internal transcribed spacer 2, and large subunit ribosomal RNA
Rfam family: 5.8S ribosomal RNA (bases 1-120)
Source: RNAcentral